Molecule: ribosomal RNA, 488 nt
Filed under: Enterococcus sp. oral taxon A43
Lineage: Bacteria; Bacillati; Bacillota; Bacilli; Lactobacillales; Enterococcaceae
Description: bacterial SSU rRNA
Rfam family: Bacterial small subunit ribosomal RNA
Source: RNAcentral
GACGAACGCUGGCGGCGUGCCUAAUACAUGCAAGUCGAACGCUUCUUUUUCACCGAACUUCGGUUCAUCGAAAAAGAGGAGUGGCGAACGGGUGAGUAACACGUGGGUAACCUGCCCAUCAGAAGGGGAUAACACUUGGAAACAGGUGCUAAUACCGUAUAAUGCUUUUUCUCGCAUGAGAGCAAGCUGAAAGGCGCUUUUGCGUCACUGAUGGAUGGACCCGCGGUGCAUUAGCUAGUUGGUGAGGUAACGGCUCACCAAGGCCACGAUGCAUAGCCGACCUGAGAGGGUGAUCGGCCACACUGGGACUGAGACACGGCCCAGACUCCUACGGGAGGCAGCAGUAGGGAAUCUUCGGCAAUGGACGAAAGUCUGACCGAGCAACGCCGCGUGAGUGAAGAAGGUUUUCGGAUCGUAAAACUCUGUUGUUAGAGAAGAACAAGGAUGAGAGUAAAAUGUUCAUCCCUUGACGGUAUCUAACCAGAAGC